This 253-nucleotide ribosomal RNA is filed under the name uncultured bacterium. RNAcentral's name for it is "partial 16S ribosomal RNA". It matches the Rfam family "Bacterial small subunit ribosomal RNA", at positions 524 to 776 of the family's 1533-position model. The record is from RNAcentral.
UACGGAGGGAGCUAGCGUUGUUCGGAAUUACUGGGCGUAAAGCGCACGUAGGCGGCGAUUCAAGUCAGAGGUGAAAGCCCGAGGCUCAACCUCGGAACUGCCUUCGAUACUGCGGGUCUCGAGUCCGGGAGAGGUGAGUGGAAUUCCUAGUGUAGAGGUGAAAUUCGUAGAUAUUAGGAAGAACACCAGUGGCGAAGGCGGCUCACUGGCUCGGUACUGACGCUGAGGCGCGAAAGCGUGGGGAGCAAACAGG